CUGGGGCGGUCUCCUCCUAAAGAGUAACGGAGGAGCACGAAGGUUGGCUAAUCUUGGUCGGACAUCAGGAGGUUAGUGCAAUGGCAUAAGCCAGCUUGACUGCGAGCGUGACGGCGCGAGCAGGUGCGAAAGCAGGUCAUAGUGAUCCGGUGGUUCUGAAUGGAAGGGCCAUCGCUCAACGGAUAAAAGGUACUCCGGGGAUAACAGGCUGAUACCGCCCAAGAGUUCAUAUCGACGGCGGUGUUUGGCACCUCGAUGUCGGCUCAUCACAUCCUGGGGCUGAAGUAGGUCCCAAGGGUAUGGCUGUUCGCCAUUUAAAGUGGUACGCGAGCUGGGUUUAGAACGUCGUGAGACAGUUCGGUCCCUAUCUGCCGUGGGCGCUGGAGAACUGAGGGGGGCUGCUCCUAGUACGAGAGGACCGGAGUGGACGCAUCACUGGUGUUCGGGUUGUCAUGCCAAUGGCACUGCCCGGUAGCUAAAUGCGGAAGAGAUAAGUGCUGAAAGCAUCUAAGCACGAAACUUGCCCCGAGAUGAGUUCUCCCUGAGACUUUAAGUCUCCUGAAGGAACGUUGAAGACGACGACGUUGAUAGGCCGGGUGUGUAAGCGCAGCGAUGCGUUGAGCUAACCGGUACUAAUGAACCGUGAGGCUUAACCUUACAACGCCGAAG
RNAcentral lists this ribosomal RNA (669 nucleotides) under Salmonella enterica subsp. enterica serovar Infantis. RNAcentral's name for it is "partial 23S ribosomal RNA". It matches the Rfam family "Bacterial large subunit ribosomal RNA", at positions 2274 to 2925 of the family's 2925-position model. The record is from RNAcentral. Lineage: Bacteria; Pseudomonadati; Pseudomonadota; Gammaproteobacteria; Enterobacterales; Enterobacteriaceae.